UACAGAGGCCUCGAGCGUUAGGCGGAAUCACUGGGCUUAAAGCGUGUGUAGGUGGAUGCCUAAGUACCUUGUGAAAUCCCACGGCUCAACCGUGGAACUGCUUGGUAUACUGGUUCUCUUGGGCCAUCUAGGGGCUAGCGGAACAAACGGUGGAGCGGUGAAAUGCGUAGAUAUCGUUUGGAACGCCAAUGGUGAAAACAGCUAGCUGGGGAUGUGCCGACGCUGAGACACGAAAGCCAGGGGAGCGAACGGG
Molecule: ribosomal RNA, 253 nt
Filed under: uncultured bacterium
Lineage: Bacteria
Description: partial 16S ribosomal RNA
Rfam family: Bacterial small subunit ribosomal RNA
Source: RNAcentral